AGCAGCCGCCGCGGGAAUACGUAGGUCCCGAGCGUUGUCCGGAUUUAUUGGGCGUAAAGCGAGCGCAGGCGGUUAGAUAAGUCUGAAGUUAAAGGCUGUGGCUUAACCAUAGUACGCUUUGGAAACUGUUUAACUUGAGUGCAAGAGGGGAGAGUGGAAUUCCAUGUGUAGCGGUGAAAUGCGUAGAUAUAUGGAGGAACACCGGUGGCGAAAGCGGCUCUCUGGCUUGUAACUGACGCUGAGGCUCGAAAGCGUGGGGAGCAAACAGGAUUAGAUACCCCUGUAGUCCCUGUCUCUUAUCCA
This 303-nucleotide ribosomal RNA is filed under the name uncultured bacterium. RNAcentral describes it as "partial 16S ribosomal RNA". It matches the Rfam family "Bacterial small subunit ribosomal RNA", at positions 507 to 809 of the family's 1533-position model. The record is from RNAcentral.